UAGACCCAUUGCAGCAAUGCUAUUCUGUGGCCCAACUGGAGUUUGGAAGACUGAAGGACCCAGAUUGAGCUUGCAAAAAUGUUGUUGGCGGAGGGACAAAGUCAUCUUUUGGUACAUUGGCCUGAACAAGGUGUUGAUGAUGAAGAAAAGAAAAGUUUCUUUGAUCAGGUAACUCGGCUUAAUUCAAGCUAUCUAGGUGGUUUGGCAUCAUAUAUUCGAAAUGCUAGGAAUCUAUUAGCAAAUUCAAAAGCAGGGAAAAAUCCAUUUAAUGGCUUUACUCCUUCGGUAAGUGAA
Magnolia sinica is the source of this 294-nucleotide long non-coding RNA. RefSeq lists it as uncharacterized. NCBI's taxonomy places the organism in Eukaryota, Viridiplantae, Streptophyta, Magnoliopsida, Magnoliales, Magnoliaceae. The transcript has 3 exons. The record is from RefSeq and is a predicted model, not a curated record.